RNAcentral lists this ribosomal RNA (254 nucleotides) under uncultured bacterium. RNAcentral's name for it is "partial 16S ribosomal RNA". It matches the Rfam family "Bacterial small subunit ribosomal RNA", at positions 524 to 776 of the family's 1533-position model. The record is from RNAcentral.
CACGUAGGGGCCAAGCGUUGUCCGGAUUUAUUGGGCGUAAAGAGCUCGUAGGCGGUUCGACAAGUCGGGUGUGAAAACUCCGGGCUCAACCCGGAGACGCCACCCGAUACUGUCGUGACUGGAGUCCGGUAGGGGAGUGGGGAAUUCCUGGUGUAGCGGUGAAAUGCGCAGAUAUCAGGAGGAACACCGGUGGCGAAGGCGGUGGUCUGGGCCGGUACUGACGCUGAGGAGCGAAAGCGUGGGGAGCAAACAGG